Pezoporus flaviventris is the source of this 822-nucleotide long non-coding RNA. RefSeq lists it as uncharacterized. The transcript is spliced from 3 exons. NCBI's taxonomy places the organism in Eukaryota, Metazoa, Chordata, Aves, Psittaciformes, Psittacidae. The record is from RefSeq and is a predicted model, not a curated record.
AAAAAAAAACCAAACAAAAACAAAACGUUUUGAAUGAUGCAGGCUUAAACACAGAAGUCCAAAAUGAUAUAUUGCUGUAUUUGGUAACAUGGAACUAUGUCAAUUUGAAGCGAUUUCACAGGAGAGAACGACAACACUUUUGUAACAAGUCUGGGUCAAAAAAGCCUAUUAAUUAGACAAGUCAUGAGCAAUGGCACUACACGCAGAAUGUCCGUGAGACAUCAGACUUCCUAAAGAUACGUAGCUAACAGACUGUCAACAAUUCUUAACUAAAUCGAGAGGAACUUGGCGGAGUGUUCCGCCCCGGGAGCAAGCGCCUCCGGUGGGGUACCCCCGCCGGGCAGGACACCCGCCGCGCAGCUCGCCUCACGGCGCUACCUUCUCCGCCCUUUCCCCGCGGCUCACACCGCCGCGCCGGGGCCGGAACUACUGCUGUGUGCCAGUUUACUGAACCAUGGCUUGCUAAAGAGAUUGCUGGGGUCACAGAUUGAAAAAACAAAGAACAUAACCACCACCUAAUGCUGAAGUUUAUGCCUAGCAAAGAAGCAGAAAAGAAACUCAUGAAAGGCAGCAAUCUUUUUACUCUCUUCUUGUCUACAAAUUCUCCAUCUUUGAUGUCACGUGUUGGGGAGGAAAGGCUAGCAGUCUGUCAACACACAGAUUUUGACUCUACCCCCUGGCGUGACUCCUGCACUGCAUAGAGAUUUGGCACACAGCUUUGAUGACACUUCCUAAAUGAAUCUGGACAAAUUUUUGGGUAAAUUGUGUUACUCAUACUCUUAUGAGAAAGUCAGCUCACUCCAUGAGAACAGUUGACAGGAU